This 1143-nucleotide long non-coding RNA is filed under the name Hordeum vulgare. RNAcentral's name for it is "long non-coding RNA (HVUL_LNC003036)". Lineage: Eukaryota; Viridiplantae; Streptophyta; Magnoliopsida; Poales; Poaceae. The record is from RNAcentral.
AACGAGCAUAAUUCGAUGAGAAACGAAGAAACGAAAUGAAAACCCAGUGAAAGGACACUCGGUAUAAGCGAGAUAUAGCCUUUGCAGUAAUUAUGGACCAGGUUAUUCGGCUUGCUAUUUCUUUUUGUAAGAAACAACCAAUAGGGCCCAAUUCCACCUUCGUGGGCUAUUGGCCGACUGGCCUUAUUAUUUAUCUUUCAGUUACAUCGUCACCUUUCCACCUUGGAUUUUCUCAACAAAAAGAAAACUAUCCUCCUCCGUUUUGAGCUUUUCUCCUUUAAAAAAAAAGUCAAGCUUUUCAAAAAGCAGGAAGUUAGCGUUAGGACAACCCACCUGUAGGAAUGAAUCUUUUGUUCUUUCAGCUUGCGUAGGGAUCUUUGUUGACCUUGGCAGAAAGAGACCGGCAUCGGCAUCAGCAUGGCACACCCUGCCUCUAAACCGUGCACGACUCCGUCGAUCUUUGGUGCACCAAGCAAGCCAGAUAACAUUAGGUGGCCACGUAAUUGCGACCCCUCCCAGCAAACGGCGACAUCAGGAAUUUAAAGAAACGGCCACAUCAGAGCCUUUAAUCCUGACGAGUCGGCGGCUAACGUUACCUGCAACCCACGGCAACAGCAGACCAAGAUCAGAUCAGGACCUGCAAACAAAAUCUGCAAGCGACCGACUUGCCCCACGUGAAUCUCAAAGCAUCCCGUGCACGUACGCCCUCGACUUGCGUCCCCGGGAAAACGACCUGCCCACGAGAGCUCCACGUCGCCGUCGGACCAUGACCCACCGGACCUUUCUCCUAGCUGCCGCUGCGUCACAGCUUGUAGCCUUGGACGCGGACGAAACCGUCGCCCACACGGGUCGCCAUCGUCGACGCUCACGUAUGGCGAACAUCAAAGCCGCCGCCGCCGCUUCACGUGUGUCCGGCGCACGGUGGAGGGACGGCGAGCCCGAUCGCGCCACAUUCGCAGAGGAAGACGACCGUGCGGCUGAUCCAAUCAGAUCGAGAUGAUCUUUUUUUUAGGUGUCCCGUCCACAGGUGUGAUAGAUACAUGCGUAAAUCGGGGUCAGAUUUGUUGCCAAAAGGAAAAUCGGGGUGAACGGAGUACUAAAAGUUGUCUUGGCUUUCCCUUCCUCGAACUAGUAGUACGAGGG